Molecule: ribosomal RNA, 461 nt
Filed under: Pseudoeurycea sp. IBH 26444
Lineage: Eukaryota; Metazoa; Chordata; Amphibia; Caudata; Plethodontidae
Description: partial 12S ribosomal RNA
Rfam family: Bacterial small subunit ribosomal RNA
Source: RNAcentral
UCCCGCCAGAGCACUACGAGCCACAGCUUAAAACUCAAAGGACUUGGCGGUGCCCUACACCCACCUAGAGGAGCCUGUUCUAUAAUUGAUAAUCCCCAAUAAACCUCACCACCUCUUGUACAAUACAGCCUAUAUACCACCGUCGCAAGCCCACCCUAUUAAAGGAAAAACAGUAGGCUAAACAAUUAAAAAUAAAAAAGUCAGGUCAAGGUGUAGCAUAUGAGUCGGAAAGAAAUGGGCUACAUUUUCUUUAAAGAAAACACGGAAAACUUUAUGAAAUAAAGUAUGAAGGAGGAUUUAGCAGUAAAAAGAGAAUAGAGAGCUCUUUUAAAAUUGGCAAUAGGACGAGCACACACCGCCCGUCACCCUCUUUAAAUAACAAAAUAAAUAAAUAAAAAAAUUUAACUUUUUAGAAGAGGAAAGUCGUAACAUGGUAAGUCUACCGGAAGGUGGCCUUGGAA